Molecule: ribosomal RNA, 484 nt
Filed under: uncultured bacterium
Lineage: Bacteria
Description: partial 16S ribosomal RNA
Rfam family: Bacterial small subunit ribosomal RNA
Source: RNAcentral
AUUGAACGCUGGCGGCAUGCUUUACACAUGCCAGUCGAACGGCAGCGCGGGCUUCGGCCUGGCGGCGAGUGGCGAACGGGUGAGUAAUACAUCGGAACGUGCCCAGUAGUGGGGGAUAGCUCGGCGAAAGCCGGAUUAAUACCGCAUACGACCUGAGGGUGAAAGCGGGGGAUCUUCGGACCUCGCGCUAUUGGAGCGGCCGAUGGCAGAUUAGCUAGUUGGUGGGGUAAAGGCCUACCAAGGCGACGAUCUGUAGCUGGUCUGAGAGGACGACCAGCCACACUGGGACUGAGGCGCGGCCCAGACUCCUACGGGAGGCAGCAGUGGGGAAUUUUGGACAAUGGGCGAAAGCCUGAUCCAGCAAUGCCGCGUGUGUGAUGAAGGCCUUCGGGUUGUAAAGCACUUUUGGCGGGAACGAAAAGGACUGUGCCAAUACCACGGUUCGAUGACGGUACCCGCAGAAUAAGCACCGGCUAACUACGUG